RNAcentral lists this ribosomal RNA (180 nucleotides) under Triticum aestivum (bread wheat). RNAcentral describes it as "partial small subunit ribosomal RNA". The record is from RNAcentral. Lineage: Eukaryota; Viridiplantae; Streptophyta; Magnoliopsida; Poales; Poaceae.
AAGGGAUUGACUUUCCUCAUCAUCCUCACCGCUUGGUGGCUUCGAAAGCAUCGGAACACAUGCAUCUUCAACGGCGGUCGACCUUCGAUUUCCCGUCUCUCCAACAUCAUCAAAGAGGAGUUGCGCCUUUGGGCAAAGGCCGAUGCAACCGGGAUCAAAAACAUCAUCCAAGAGACUUAG